GAUGAACGCUAGCUACAGGCUUAACACAUGCAAGUCGAGGGGCAGCAUGAUCUUAGCUUGCUAAGAUUGAUGGCGACCGGCGCACGGGUGAGUAACGCGUAUCCAACCUUCCCCUUAGUAGGGCAUAGCCCGUAGAAAUGCGGAUUAAUACCCUAUGUUCUUCGUUGAUGACAUCUGAGAUGAAGCAAAGACUUGUCGCUAAGGGAUGGGGAUGCGUCUGAUUAGGCAGUCGGCGGGGUAACGGCCCACCGAGCCGACGAUCAGUAGGGGUUCUGAGAGGAAGGUCCCCCACAUUGGAACUGAGACACGGUCCAAACUCC
Molecule: ribosomal RNA, 320 nt
Filed under: uncultured Prevotella sp.
Lineage: Bacteria; Pseudomonadati; Bacteroidota; Bacteroidia; Bacteroidales; Prevotellaceae
Description: bacterial SSU rRNA
Rfam family: Bacterial small subunit ribosomal RNA
Source: RNAcentral